GCAUCAGCGAAACUUUUCUCUAGAUAUGGAUCCAAAGUUGUGAUUGCAGACAUUCAAGACGACUUGGCACAAAAUGUUUGCAAAGAUUUGGAUCCAUCAUCAACUACCUUUGUGCAUUGUGAUGUUACAAAAGAGGAAGACUUAGAAAAUGUUGUGAACAUUGUUGUAGACAAGUAUGGCAAGCUAGACAUCAUGUACAAUAAUGCUGGUAUUAUGGGAGCAGUCAAAUCCAAUA
Molecule: unclassified non-coding RNA, 235 nt
Filed under: Hevea brasiliensis (rubber tree)
Lineage: Eukaryota; Viridiplantae; Streptophyta; Magnoliopsida; Malpighiales; Euphorbiaceae
Source: RNAcentral